RNA transcript from Stegostoma tigrinum, 1401 nucleotides. RefSeq lists it as uncharacterized. The record is from RefSeq and is a predicted model, not a curated record. Lineage: Eukaryota; Metazoa; Chordata; Chondrichthyes; Orectolobiformes; Stegostomatidae. The transcript has 3 exons.
UAAAUUUCUAUGAAGUGCAUUGGAGUGUUUAUCUAUUUUCAAAGACAAAAGCUUAGCUGUAAAUUGUUGUAUGAGUUAGCGUCAAUAUUAUUUAACAAUAUAGUCUCGCUGUUCUCGGAAAGUGCCAAAAACCUUCCGCAAGUAUAAAGAAAACACAACUUCAAUCGAUUGGUUGCGUCUAAUGCAUGUAAAUGAGAUAAAGCGGCCAAGGUUGAGAUUCGAGCAGCGCCAACGGGCAGGUUACAUUGUUUAUCUGGACACGAUAGUGCAAAAGUUCUGUUUUUAUGGAAUUGCCACAAUGACAGCGGAAAACCUAAAAUUCCUGGUAAAAAGGCAGUUAUCAUUCACUGGUUUUACCAACUUUCAGGGGAGCAGGGGAAGAUGUCAUGCAUUCGGGACUGACCAAGAAAGCUUGCUUCCAACUGACCAACAAAUCACGUUGGAUAAUAUAAAGCAUUUCAAGACUAAGUUGAAAGAAGUCGCUACUCUCCCGACUGUUAACGAGAUUCUGGAGACAGCAGAUGGACUUCAACACGAAAGCACCGAGGAACCAGAACAGGUCAAAAAGACAUCAACUUCUAAAAAAGUUCACAUUGCUUUAAUUCCAGACAGAUACGAACCUUUGAUCGAGUCUGUGGGACAAAGUCCGAACGCGGAGAGCAAAGCAGCGAAAAAAUACAAAAGGAAGCAAAAGCUUAAAAAAUGCAAGAAGAGGCUACCACCUACACAAAUGUGAUAGUUGCAUUUUAUGCAAUUCUACUUCUUUCCUCUUUGCCACACUCCUAGAACCUGGAUACCGAAACCCUUGUCAUCAAUUUCCAUUCCGCAAGCUCCGUCUGUGUAUUUCACAAUCGUUUGCUAUUUUUGUCUGCUGAGCAUGAUGUCACUAACAAAUACAUAUUGCCCUCCUUGUAAAGAACAUUUUAAAAGUUCUUCGUGCUGGAUGGAAUUACUUUGUACUUGGUGUUCAAGAAUUUGCAAACAAUUAUACAAUGCCAUACGCAACCUCAUUUACUGUGAUUUCUGAGAUGCGCUGAAGGACUGAGAGAACAUUGAAAGAUUUCACACAUUGUUGAAUUUCUAUGUUAUUGAUGCAAAAUUUUUCAGUCUGUUUGUAACUUUAAAAUAUUAAUUUGUGCUCAACCUGAAUCUGUAUAGUUAUUAUAAAGAUAAAUGAUGGUUUUCUUGCAAGCUAAAGCUGAAGGCUACAGUAGAUGCUAGCAUUAUGAAUCUCCCACACAUGCAUUAUCUUUUUAAUAGGCUAAUCAAUUACCCAAAGGCAAAUAUAUGGCUUUUGUUCAUGAUUGCUGCUGCAAGUAUACUGUACUAUCACAACCUGUAUUCAUAAAUAUUCACUUUCAGAUGUAACCUUGCUCUUAUUCUAAUCACUAUUAAAUUACA